This 416-nucleotide ribosomal RNA is filed under the name Coelotes modestus. RNAcentral describes it as "partial 16S ribosomal RNA". The stretch from base 162 to 416 matches the Rfam family "Archaeal large subunit ribosomal RNA", at positions 2156 to 2681 of the family's 2987-position model. The record is from RNAcentral. Lineage: Eukaryota; Metazoa; Arthropoda; Arachnida; Araneae; Agelenidae.
GCUCAAUGAAAUUUCAAUAGCCGCAACAUAAUGUGCUAAGGUAGCAUAAUCAUUUGUCUUUUAAUUAAAGACUAGAACAAAAGAUUUAACAUUUUAAUUUAUUUCUUAAAUGUAAAGAUUAAACUUAUUUUAAAUAUAAAAAAAUAUUUAUAAAAUAAAAAGACGACAAGACCCUAUUGAACUUCACUAAAGUUAAACUGGGGCAGUUAAUAAAAUAGAAUUUUAAUUUUAAAUCUCAAAACACCCAAUAUAAUCGAUACAAUCAAGUUACCAUAGGGAUAACAGCGUAAUAAUUUUCUAAAGCUCUUAUUAAAAAAAUUGUUUGCGACCUCGAUGUUGAAUUAAUAUUCUAUUAAAUGCAAUAAUUUAAUUAAGAAAGUCUGUUCGACUUUUAAUGAAUUACGUGAUCUGAGUAA